Molecule: ribosomal RNA, 683 nt
Filed under: uncultured bacterium
Lineage: Bacteria
Description: bacterial SSU rRNA
Rfam family: Bacterial small subunit ribosomal RNA
Source: RNAcentral
AACGCUAGCUACAGGCUUAACACAUGCAAGUCGAACGGAUUCUGGAUUCGUCUGGAAUUAGUGGCAAACGGGUGAGUAACACGUAUCCAACCACCCUGCGACUCGGGGAUAGCCUCUUGAAAGGGAGAUUAAUAUCCGAUGUACUGUUUUUGGUGCAUGCCAUUUUCAGUAAAGUUUUUUACGGUCGCUGACGGGGAUGCGUUCCAUUAGAUAGUCGGUGUGGUAACGGCUCACCGAGUCUAUGAUGGAUAGGGGUUCUGAGAGGAAGGUCCCCCACAUUGGAACUGCGACACGGUCCAAACUCCUACGGGGGGCAGCAGUGAGGAAUAUUGGUCAAUGGGCGAAAGCCUGAACCAGCUAUGUAGCGUGAAGGAUGACUGCCCUAUGGGUUGUAAACUUCUUUUGUUCGGGAAUAACAGACUUCACUUGUGGAGUUUUGCAUGUACCGUUCGAAUAAGGAUCGGCUAACUCCGUGCCAGCAGCCGCGGUAAUACGGAGGAUCCUAGCGUUAUUCGGAUUUAUUGGGUUUAAAGGGAGCGUAGGCGGGGGGUCAAGUCAGCUGUGAAAUACGUACGCUUAACGUUCGUCUUGCAGUUGAAACUGGUUUUCUUGAGUGCGUAUGAGGCAGGCGGAAUUCGUGGUGUAGCGGUGAAAUGCUUAGAUAUCACGAAGAACUCCGAUUG